UACGAAGGGGGCUAGCGUUGCUCGGAAUCACUGGGCGUAAAGGGUGCGUAGGCGGGUCUUUAAGUCAGAGGUGAAAUCCUGGAGCUCAACUCCAGAACUGCCUUUGAUACUGAGGAUCUUGAGUUCGGGAGAGGUGAGUGGAACUGCGAGUGUAGAGGUGAAAUUCGUAGAUAUUCGCAAGAACACCAGUGGCGAAGGCGGCUCACUGGCCCGAUACUGACGCUGAGGCACGAAGCGAUGGGAGGCAAACAGGGAUUAAGAUACCC
This 266-nucleotide ribosomal RNA is filed under the name uncultured bacterium. Its description in RNAcentral is "partial 16S ribosomal RNA". It matches the Rfam family "Bacterial small subunit ribosomal RNA", at positions 524 to 787 of the family's 1533-position model. The record is from RNAcentral.